CAUAAAUCUUUGAUGUGGAGAAGUAAUAUAUAGAUGUUUUGAAGAGAGUUAGUGGUUGGUGUAAACUAAUAAACUAUAUAUAUGAAUAACACCACUGAGUGGAAUAUUGAAAUUAAGUAAGUAUUCUCGGGGAACCGUUAUAAUAAUAAAGUAAACAAAGGAUGGUACCGUCUUUAUGACUCCUUAU
RNAcentral lists this non-coding RNA (187 nucleotides) under Clostridium sp. RNAcentral describes it as "T-box sequence". It matches the Rfam family "T-box leader". Rfam says of the family: Uncharged tRNA acts as the effector for transcription antitermination of genes in the T-box leader family. T-boxes are found upstream of many aminoacyl-tRNA synthetase genes and some amino acid biosynthetic genes usually in Gram-positive bacteria. Lineage: Bacteria; Bacillati; Bacillota; Clostridia; Eubacteriales; Clostridiaceae. The record is from RNAcentral.